CCUCUUUCCAAGCGCCGGCUCAGCGCCUAUAUACGGCGCGUCAGCUUGUCUGACUAUGGUGAUAAACGGCCGAUGAAAUAAGCCUUUCGGACCCGGGGGCGGUACCCGGCGCCUCCACCAUAAACCGCCGUUCGCGACGGUUUAUGAUGGGGGCGAAAUAGGAUCGACGAGGGUGUAAAGAUCGGACUUUUGCCCGGCAUUGUACCACCGUUAUCGGGCUAAACUUGUAGUUGCAAACGACAACUAUGCUGAGGCACGUCUCGCUGCUUAAUGCGGCGCGAUAGUCUCGAAUCAAGCCCUACGGGUUAGCACCUUUAGGCGGGGUUCGGAGGUACCUGGCAACAGAAACCUCCACU
This 356-nucleotide transfer-messenger RNA is filed under the name Oryzicola mucosus. RNAcentral describes it as "Alphaproteobacteria transfer-messenger RNA". It matches the Rfam family "Alphaproteobacteria transfer-messenger RNA". Rfam says of the family: Bacterial tmRNA, also known as 10Sa RNA or SsrA, is named for its dual tRNA and mRNA-like properties. Its role is to liberate the mRNA from a stalled ribosome. Lineage: Bacteria; Pseudomonadati; Pseudomonadota; Alphaproteobacteria; Hyphomicrobiales; Phyllobacteriaceae. The record is from Rfam by way of RNAcentral.